CACUAAGUAACUUAAAGCAAGUAUUGGUCUCUUAAACCAAACUAUAGUAACUAGCGAAUACUCUUGGUGA
This 70-nucleotide transfer RNA is filed under the name Orosius sp. Its description in RNAcentral is "tRNA-Lys". Lineage: Eukaryota; Metazoa; Arthropoda; Insecta; Hemiptera; Cicadellidae. The record is from RNAcentral.